Molecule: ribosomal RNA, 463 nt
Filed under: uncultured bacterium
Lineage: Bacteria
Description: partial 16S ribosomal RNA
Rfam family: Bacterial small subunit ribosomal RNA
Source: RNAcentral
GACGAACGCUGGCGGCGUGCUUAACACAUGCAAGUCGAACGGAAAGGCCUUUUCGGAGGUACUCGAGUGGCGAACGGGUGAGUAACACGUGGGUGAUCUGCCCUGCACUCUGGGAUAAGCCUGGGAAACUGGGUCUAAUACCGGAUAGGACCGCACUUUAGUGUGUGUGGUGGAAAGUUUUUUCGGUGUAGGAUGAGCCCGCGGCCUAUCAGCUUGUUGGUGGGGUAAUGGCCUACCAAGGCGGCGACGGGUAGCCGGACUGAGAGGUUGGUCGGCCACAUUGGGACUGGGGUACGGCCCAGACUCCUACGGGGGGCAGCAGUGGGGAAUAUUGCACAAUGGGCGCAAGCCUGAUGCAGCGACGCCGCGUGGGGGAUGACGGCCUUCGGGUUGUAAACUCCUUUCGCCAGGGACGAAGCGUUUUGUGACGGUACCUGGAGAAGAAGCACCGGCUAACUACGUG